AAGUCGAACGAAGUAGCAAUACUUCGUGGCAGACGGGUGAGUAACAUGUGGGUAUCUUCCCUAUGGCCUGGAAUAACACGAGGAAACUUAUGCUAAUACCGGAUAAGUCUUUACGGAGAAAGCUUUAUGCACCAUUGGAUGAGCCCGCACUUGAUUAGUUUGUUGGUAGGGUAAUGGCCUACCAAGACUUUGAUCAAUAGCUGAUUUGAGAGGAUGAUCAGCCACAUUGGGACUGAGACACGGCCCAAACUCCUACGGGAGGCAGCAGUGGGGAAUCUUGCACAAUGGAGGAAACUCUGAUGCAGCGAUGCCGCGUGAGUGAAGAAGGCCUUUGGGUUGUAAAGCUCUUUCGUCGGGGAAGAAAAUGACUGUACCCGAAUAAGAAGGUCCGGCUAACUUCGUGCCAGCAGCCGCGGUAAUACGAAGGGACCUAGCGUAGUUCGGAAUUACUGGGCUUAAAGAGUUCGUAGGUGGUUGAAAAAGUUGGUGGUGAAAUCCCAGAGCUUAACUCUGGAACUGCCAUCAAAACUUUUCAGCUAGAGUAUGAUAGAGGAAAGCAGAAUUUCUAGUGUAGAGGUGAAAUUCGUAGAUAUUAGAAAGAAUACCAAUUGCGAAGGCAGCUUUCUGGAUCAUUACUGACACUGAGGAACGAAAGCAUGGGUAGCGAAGAGGAUUAGAUACCCUCGUAGUCCAUGCCGUAAACGAUGUGUGUUAGACGUUGGAAAUUUAUUUUCAGUGUCGCAGCGAAAGCAUUAAACACACCGCCUGGGGAGUACGACCGCAAGGUUAAAACUCAAAUGAAUUGACGGGGACCCGCACAAGUAGUGGAGCAUGUGGUUUAAUUCGAAGAUACGCGCAGAACCUUACCAACACUUGACAUGUUCGUCGCGACUUUAAGAGAUUAA
This 905-nucleotide ribosomal RNA is filed under the name uncultured marine bacterium. Its description in RNAcentral is "bacterial SSU rRNA". It matches the Rfam family "Bacterial small subunit ribosomal RNA", at positions 59 to 1010 of the family's 1533-position model. The record is from RNAcentral.